RNAcentral lists this ribosomal RNA (300 nucleotides) under uncultured Spiroplasma sp. RNAcentral's name for it is "bacterial SSU rRNA". The stretch from base 53 to 300 matches the Rfam family "Bacterial small subunit ribosomal RNA", at positions 548 to 795 of the family's 1533-position model. The record is from RNAcentral. Lineage: Bacteria; Bacillati; Mycoplasmatota; Mollicutes; Entomoplasmatales; Spiroplasmataceae.
GACAAAGCGGGGAGAGCGUCCGCGGGAAAAAGGGGUGUGGAAGGGGUACUCUGAAUCAGUGGGCGUAAAGGACGCGUAGGCGGGUUGCCAAGUCAGGUGUGAAAUCCUACAGCUUAACUGGAGAACUGAACUUGAAACUGGUAACCUAGAGUAUGGGAGGGGGAGAUGGAAUUAGUGGUGUAGGGGUAAAAUCCGUAGAUAUCACUAGGAAUACCGAAAGCGAAGGCGAUCUCCUGGAACAUAACUGACGCUAAGGCGUGAAAGCGUGGGGAGCAAACAGGAUUAGAUACCCUGGUAGUC